Molecule: ribosomal RNA, 253 nt
Filed under: uncultured bacterium
Lineage: Bacteria
Description: partial 16S ribosomal RNA
Rfam family: Bacterial small subunit ribosomal RNA
Source: RNAcentral
UACGUAGGGGCCGAGCGUUGUCCGGAGUUACUGGGCGUAAAGCGUGCGCAGGCGGCGCGUUCUGCCCGGCGUGAAAGCCCCCGGCUCAACCGGGGAAGGUCGUCGGGGACGGGCGCGCUUGGGGGCGGCAGGGGCUGGUGGAACUCCCGGUGUAGUGGUGAAAUGCGUAGAGAUCGGGAAGAACACCUGUGGCGAAGGCGGCCAGCUGGGCCGACCCUGACGCUGAGGCACGAAGGCGUGGGGAGCGAACAGG